GGGGGAUCUGCCAGUCAUAAGAGGAGGGCGGUUUUUCCGGAAUCCAUUUCGCUGGUUCCCUGUAAUUAAGCAGGAUUAAGUGAUUUGUCCCCUGUGCUGCUGGGUACUGUGAAGGAAGCUCAGGCAAGUUCUGAAAGUGCGACAUGAUGAGGAUAUUGUCACUUCCCACAGAGAAUGCAGUGACGUACAAUGAUGUACUGGUGAGCUUUACUCAGGAAGAAUGGGCUUUGCUGGAUCCUUCCCAGAAGAGUCUCUACAAAGAUGUGAUGCUCGAAACCUAUAAGAACCUCACUGCCAUAGGCUAUAACUGGGAAGAUGAUAAUAUUGAAGAAGAUUGUGAAAAUUCUGGACGAUCCAGAAGGCAUCUUCAAAGGGAUGGACCAAGUAAUACUGCAGAGAAACCCUUUGAAUAUAUUCAAUAUGAUGGAGCCUUUGCAAGAAACCAUCAUCAUCAGUUACAUAAGAGCACUGGAUCUUUCAUGUCUUAUACUGAUCAUCAAAUACAUAGAAGAGAACACACUGAAGAAAAAUUCUAUGAUGGUAACCAAUGUGGUAAAACCUUUUCAUGUCACAGCCAUUUUGAAAUUCGUAAAGGAACAUAUACUGGAGAAAAACCCUAUGAAUGUAAUCAAUGUGGGAAAACCUUUGCAGGUCACAGCAAUCUUCAAAUCCAUAAAAGAAUACAUACUGGAGAGAAACCCUAUAAAUGUAAGCAAUGUGGCAAAGACUUUACACAUCACAGUACUCUUCAUAUCCAUAAAAGAAUACAUACUGGAGAGAAACCCUAUAAAUGUAACCAAUGUGGCAGAACCUUUGCACAAUUUGGUCAUCUUCAAUGUCAUAAAAUAACACAUACUGGAGAGAAACUCUAUCAAUGUAACCAAUGUGGGAAAGCCUUUACAUAUUCCAAAACUCUUAAAAUCCAUAAAGAAGAAACACAUACUGGAGAGAAACCCUAUGAAUGUAAUCAAUGUGGCAAAGCCUUUGCAUGUCGCAGAUAUCUUCGAAUCCAUAAAAAAACACAUACUGGAGAGAAACCCUAUGAAUGUAACCAAUGUGGCAAAGCCUUUGCAUAUCACAGAACUCUUCAGAUCCAUAAAAGAAAACAUACUGGAGAGAAACCCUAUGAAUGUAACCAAUGUGGCAAAGCCUUUGCAUAUCAUAAAACUCUUCAAAUCCAUGAAAGAACACACACUGGAGAGAAACUCUAUCAAUGUAACCAAUGUGGCAAAGCCUUUGCAUAUCACAGAACUCUUCGAAUCCAUAAAAGAACACAUACUGGAGAGAAACUCUAUGAAUGUAAUCAAUGUGGCAAAGCCUUUGCAUGUCUUGGAAAUCUUCAAAAACAUAAAACAACACAUACUGGAGAGAAACCCUAUGAAUGUAACCAGUGUGGCAAAGCCUUUAAACAAUAUGUUCAUCUUCAGUGUCAUCAAAGGAUACAUACUGGAGAGAAACCCUAUGAAUGUAAACAAUGUGGCAAAGCUUUUACAUGUCACAGUAGUCUUCAAAUCCAUAAAAGAACACACACUGGAGAGAAACCCUAUGAAUGUAAUCAAUGUGGCAAAGCCUUUGCAGGUCACAGCAAUCUUCAAAGACAUAAAAGAACACAUACUGGAGAGAAACUCUAUGAAUGUAAACAAUGUGGUAAAGCAUUUACAUGUCACAGUUAUCUUAAAAUCCAUGAAAGGAGACAUACUGGAGAGAAACCCUAUGAAUGUAAACAAUGUGGCAAAGCCUUUGCAUGUUACAAAUCUUUUCAAAUCCAUAAAAGAACACAUACCGGAGAAAAACCCUAUGAAUGUAAUCAAUGUGGCAAAGCCUUUGCAUGUCGCAGAUACCUUCAAAUCCAUAAAAGAACACAUACUGGAGAGAAACCCUAUGAAUGUAAACAAUGUGGCAAAGCCUUUGCAUAUCACAGAACUCUUCAAGUCCAUAAAAGAACACAUACUGGAGAGAAACCUUAUGAAUGUAAUCAAUGUGGCAAGGCCUUUGCAUGUCACAGAUAUCUUCAAAUGCAUAUAAGAACACAUACUGGAGAGAAACCCUAUGAAUGUAACCAGUGUGGCAGAGCCUUUACACAAUUUGUUCAUCUUCAAUGUCAUGAAAUAACACAUACUGAAGAGAAACCCUAUGAAUGUAACUAAUGUGGCAAAACCUUUAAACGUCACAGUACUCUUCAAAUCCAUAAAAGAACACAUAGUGGAGAAAAACCGUAUGAAUGUAAUUAAUGUGGCAAAGUCAUUGCAGGUCACAGUACUCUUCGAAAUCAUAAAAGAAUACAUACUAGAGAAAAAAUCUAAUAAAGCCAUUUGUUAGCAGUCACCUCCUAAGGGAUGCAACAUAGUUUGUGGGAAUAUAGUGGGUGGGUUUUUCUGAUUCUUUUGCCUUCUUUCGAGAUGGUUCUUGUCUUAAUUAUUUUCUUUGCUAGGUUUCAUAUGAGGGUUUGUGCCUAUUUUUAUUAAAAUAUGGUAUGCCUUGUUCAUUUGAUAUCCCCAA
This 2499-nucleotide long non-coding RNA is filed under the name Mus musculus (house mouse). RNAcentral describes it as "predicted gene 5165". Lineage: Eukaryota; Metazoa; Chordata; Mammalia; Rodentia; Muridae. The record is from RNAcentral.